This 399-nucleotide ribosomal RNA is filed under the name uncultured bacterium. Its description in RNAcentral is "bacterial SSU rRNA". It matches the Rfam family "Bacterial small subunit ribosomal RNA", at positions 30 to 430 of the family's 1533-position model. The record is from RNAcentral.
AUUGAACGCUGGCGGCAGGCCUAACACAUGCAAGUCGAGCGGUAGAGAGGUGCUUGCAUCUCUUGAGAGCGGCGGACGGGUGAGUAAUGCCUAGGAAUCUGCCUAGUGUGGGGGAUAACGUUCGGAAACGGACGCUAAUACCGCAUACGUCCUACGGGNGAAAGCGGGGGAUCUUCGGACCUCGCGCCAUUAGAUGAGCCUAGGUCGGAUUAGCUAGUUGGUGAGGUAAUGGCUCACCAAGGCGACGAUCCGUAACUGGUCUGAGAGGAUGAUCAGUCACACUGGAACUGAGACACGGUCCAGACUCCUACGGGAGGCAGCAGUGGGGAAUAUUGGACAAUGGGCGAAGACCUGAUCCAGCCAUGCCGCGUGUGUGAAGAAGGUCUUCGGAUUGUAAAG